ACUUCAGGGAUUGGUGAAAUUCCAUACCGGUGGUAAAGCCCACGAGCCAGUAAUAUGGUUGAUUUGGUGAAAUUCCAGAGCCGACGGUAAAGUCCGGAUGAUAGAAG
Molecule: non-coding RNA, 107 nt
Filed under: pig gut metagenome
Description: FMN riboswitch (RFN element)
Rfam family: FMN riboswitch aptamer (RFN element)
About the family: The RFN element is a highly conserved domain that is found frequently in the 5'-untranslated regions of prokaryotic mRNAs that encode for flavin mononucleotide (FMN) biosynthesis and transport proteins. This element is a metabolite-dependent riboswitch that directly binds FMN in the absence of proteins. In Bacillus subtilis, the riboswitch most likely controls gene expression by causing premature transcription termination within the 5' untranslated region of the ribDEAHT operon and precluding access to the ribosome-binding site of ypaA mRNA.
Source: RNAcentral